GACAGAGGAUGCAAGCGUUAUCCGGAAUGAUUGGGCGUAAAGCGUCUGUAGGUGGUUUAUUAAGUCUACUGUUAAAGAUCAGGGCUUAACCCUGAGCAGGCAAUAGAAACUAAUAAGCUAGAGUACGGUAGGGACAGAGGGAAUUCCCGGUGUAGCGGUGAAAUGCGUAGAGAUCGGGAAGAACACCAACGGCGAAAGCACUCUGCUGGGCCGAAACUGACACUGAGAGACGAAAGCUAGGGGAGCGAAUGGG
RNAcentral lists this ribosomal RNA (253 nucleotides) under uncultured bacterium. RNAcentral describes it as "partial 16S ribosomal RNA". It matches the Rfam family "Bacterial small subunit ribosomal RNA", at positions 524 to 776 of the family's 1533-position model. The record is from RNAcentral.